AUUUUCCUCACAGGAAGUACUUCCUUUUGUGCUCUGUUUACAUCCAGGUUAGUCUGUACGGGUCCAUGCUAGAUAUCAUAAUAUCAAAUAUUAAACGUAUAUACUCGUAAUUCACAAUUUGACUUUAAGUCAAAACAGCAUAAAGUGAGCAAGCUACAUUAAAUUACAUUAUUUUUUACAAUUAAUUUUUUGGGAUCUUACUUUAAUUAUAUAAAUCUGAAGAAAUUUUAUGUGGAAAUCUCGGACUUUCUGUAGUAUCAAUUCAAGCUUUUCAGCUGGUAGCCAUAUCAUUAUUCGGAAAUGAAAUACAGAAAAAAGGAGACAGAAGAAUGAAGUAGAUACAGAAAUAGACACUUCACAGCCAGAGGAAUUCACAAUUUUACAGCAAUAUUGCUCCUCGUCCGCAACGUCAUCUGCGCAGCAGCUCCAAGCGCACGUGCCCCACCACGCGGCGAGCCUGGUCAGGCGUGUGCCCCGCGCGAGAUGCAGCCCGGUGUGACGUCACUGCUGCAGCGACUUCUGCCUGGAAACUGCGAGCUCACCAGCCGGGCAGGGUCGCCGAAUGGCCGCAAAGGACGUAGACAGACUUGUCAUUAAGCACAAUCUGGCUUCUUGUUAAUUACGUGAUCUCCUGCAUAUCUGCUGCUUUAUAAAAUGGGAGAAGGGCAGAGCAGAGAGAAGAUUUCUGUCUCAGAGGAUGCCUGUUCAUCACUCCAGGAUUCAAAAGUAUUCACAGGACCACCUUCAAGCCCAACACCAUCAGAGACCACCCAGAGACCAGAAGCAGACCUACCACAGUGUCAAAUAGGGAAUAAGAAAGUAGAUGACAUGUGUUUUAUGAUCACAUGCACCAACUGGUAUUAGACACUACACCACAGACUGAAGUCCUUGACGUUAUGAAGUUGAAUUUUGAGGAAUAUGUUUUUAUGAUGAGUUGAUCCGUUCUGACAUAUCUUUGUAAAAUUAUUAAAUAUGCAGUUUUCGAAAGUAAAACUAUUUAACUUUUUGUUUGUCUGUAGGUUAGAAUGUCACACGUGCACCGUUCACCAUAAAAGAGCAAAUUGUUGCAGAAAAAUAUCUUUUCCACAGUAGAAAGCCAUUGAUUAUCUUAAAUGUGUGUUCUGAGUGUCUAUGUGUAUUUGUGACUGCAAAUUGAAAAAAGUAUUGAAAAUUCAAGUCACUGUGACAAACUUUAA
Molecule: long non-coding RNA, 1196 nt
Organism: Lepisosteus oculatus (spotted gar)
Lineage: Eukaryota; Metazoa; Chordata; Actinopteri; Semionotiformes; Lepisosteidae
Source: RefSeq, a predicted model, not a curated record